UCGAGACGGACUUCCGAUUCACGUCUUGCUUACUCUGUCUCCCAUUGGGUCGGGUCUCGCCACGUACUCACGGCCGGCGGUCCACAAGGGAAAAUUGGCAUAGAAGAGCGGGAGGGGAAAUUGUCCACUUGUUGAUGAGAGGCGGGGCUACAGAGUGGGCGUGGCAGCAGGUGGGAAGCCGUAAGAGUGGUGAUCCCUGGGCGGCCCUGACCGGGACACCACUUAGGUCCAGUUUUCUUAGAUUUGCCAAAAGCAAUGUUCCUGAGCUACGCUCGAACCAGAAUCCAGCUGCGUUAGAGUGUCAUGUUGGGGCCCAAAAAUGUCCGUUGUUAGCUGCUCCAUAAAGAAAACCUUCCUGAAGGCCGAUACCAACCCGGGAGAAUUACGGCCUCUGCAGCAGAGGCGGGUGCCCUGCGCUUACAGGGCUCGAGCCGCGCGGUGACUGCUGGGAAAUGUAGUCCACGGCACGCCCUUGUUCCUGCGCCUGCGGCGUGGAUCCAGCAUUCCAAAGCAGAGCAGGUCUGUGGCCGAGCUCUGCGAGAGCAAGAUUGUCAGAUUGUGGGCUGUGACGGUCAUCCUGAGGGAAGAAGCGAAGGGAAACACCAGGGAGGACCCCUUCUCUUUUGAAGAGAGAACUGCCCAGGCCUGAGACCGGAGCAUGUCUGUGACGGCUCAUGGAGUCCGCAGAUCCUAGGAGUGUGUGGCGAAAACCAGUAAUCGUUUAUUAAACACAUGCUUACAUAAAAUAAGACCUUCACAAUAUUGUAUAAAGUAGGCUUUAUUAUAAGCCCUGUGAUUGUGGCACCGGGUGUCAGUUAAUAAGCCUUUUGCCUAAGUUAUUCUAUUUAGACUGUGGAAAUAAAAGUCGUCUGUUUUGAAUGACUGUGUGUAGAGUCCGUAUUUCCUCAUUUCAUCACAGGUACAAACAAAGGCCCACAGGCUGCAAUGGCACAUGCUUAUCCAGACGCAGAUGGGCAGGUAUAGGUUAAUUUAGGAAAACCUUGUUAAAGCUUGUGAGGUUGAGACAGACAGCUCAGCGGUUAAAAACACUUAAUCUGCCCUUCUGGGGGACCUGGAUUCUGUUCCCAGCAACCGCAUGGUGGCUCACGGCCUUCUAUGGGAUCUGACACCAUCUUCUAGCCUCCAAAAGCACUGGUGUAUGCCAGGCGUAUAAUGCAGUUGCAGCCCAAACUGAAAGAUUAAUGAGCUUCCGACAGAAAAGUUGACCCCACCUGUGUGCUGUUAGGAUCCAGAGAGCUUCUGUUAAGAUCAACUACCAACCUCCUUUGGUAUUUACUGUGAGCCCCUCCACGAGUGGCCAGGCCCCUCCCCUGAGGACCUCCAACUGCCCAUCUAACAAGCUUAACUGCCCUAACGCCUGGGCCCUGCCCCCACCCUACCGAGUUAAAAACUCCAGCUCUGGACUUGAAAUCCUACCAAUCCCCACCCUGAAAAGUUCCACCCCCCUCAAGAAACUAAGCCCUGCCUUCUGCUCAGUCCUCUGCUGUUUGUCAUGUGAACAGAGGCAGCCACCCUCCUGUUUUGUUUUGUUUUGUUUUGUUUUCUCCUCCCAAUAAAUCUCUUGUGUGAGGUUUGUUGUGUGGUAUAACUUUGUGGUAUUCCUUGGCUCCCAACUGCCAGGAUGCCUUUCUAUCUAAGCUGUAACCCUUACAUUUGGUUAGGCUCUCCUUGUGCCUGCCUUUCCCUCGGAGGCCUAAGCUGCCCUGGGACUCUUUUCCUCACCUUGAGUCCACCUGCAACAGACUCACUUUCUGGCUCACCACUGGCUUAGCAUUCCAUCCACUAGCAGCAACUAGAUGGAUCUCCUAAGUUUGUUGCAAAGUCAGAGCCUGGAGCCAGAUGGGGAGAAAGCAAAGGAUUAGGCCAGCUGCAAUAUGCACAAAUUCUUCAUUGGCUGAUUCAUCUAUCAGCUCCCUCCUGCAGGAUCCUCUG
This is a non-coding RNA of Cricetulus griseus (Chinese hamster), 1953 nucleotides long. NCBI's taxonomy places the organism in Eukaryota, Metazoa, Chordata, Mammalia, Rodentia, Cricetidae. The record is from RefSeq and is a predicted model, not a curated record.